AGCGAACGCUGGCGGCAGGCCUAACACAUGCAAGUCGAACGAACCUUUCGGGGUUAGUGGCGGACGGGUGAGUAACACGUGGGAACGUGCCUUUAGGUUCGGAAUAACUCAGGGAAACUUGUGCUAAUACCGAAUGUGCCCUUCGGGGGAAAGAUUAAUCGCCUUUAGAGCGGCCCGCGUCUGAUUAGCUAGUUGGUUGAGGUAAUGGCUCACCAAGGCGACGAUCAGUAGCUGGUCUGAGCGGAUGAUCAGCCACAUUGGGACUGAGACACGGCCCAAACUCCUACGGGAGGCAGCAGUGGGGAAUCUUGCGCAAUGGGCGAAAGCCUGACGCAGCCAUGCCGCGUGAAUGAUGAAGGUCUUAGGAUUGUAAAAUUCUUUCACCGGGGACGAUAAUGACGGUACCCGGAGAAGAAGCCCCGGCUAACUUCGUG
RNAcentral lists this ribosomal RNA (434 nucleotides) under uncultured bacterium. Its description in RNAcentral is "partial 16S ribosomal RNA". It matches the Rfam family "Bacterial small subunit ribosomal RNA", at positions 29 to 507 of the family's 1533-position model. The record is from RNAcentral.